GGGGAUUUAGCUCAGCGGCAUAAGCACCUGCCUUGCAAGCAGGCGGUUGUGAGUUAAGUCCCCG
RNAcentral lists this transfer RNA (64 nucleotides) under Cavia porcellus (domestic guinea pig). It matches the Rfam family "tRNA". Rfam says of the family: Transfer RNA (tRNA) molecules are approximately 80 nucleotides in length. The record is from Rfam by way of RNAcentral. Lineage: Eukaryota; Metazoa; Chordata; Mammalia; Rodentia; Caviidae.